UUAACCCCCCCCCCCCCAAACGUUUACAUGGUAUGUUCGGAAACACUACGGAUUCUCAAAGAACCGCGGAAAGCUCGACAGAACGUCCGCCAUUUGCAAAGAAUGCUGUUCAUCCUGAGUCGUUAGCAGAACAAAAGCAAACAUCAGCAACAUCGGUCAAGCGUGGCGGCGAACUCAAGUGCUGCAGCAGGACCGGCUUUGACCAUUGAUCCUGAUAAAGUCAGCGGGUGACCCCGGCUUGAUGCGACAAAGAAGUGAUCUGACCGGACGCUGCGUACAACUUCUGGACUCCUCGUUUGUUACACGUCCCAUCCACGGAGGCUUGCAGCUCAGCCAAGGGAAAAGGGGAGAGAGGUGAGGGGAAGGUUGCCGUGGUGAGGAGAGAGGGGCCGGCUGGCUGAUAACCACCGUGCUCCUUUCCAUCUCCUGGGCGGAUGACGGAGUAGCAGUGAGGAGAAAGAGGCUCGGCGGUCCUUGCUCGCACAGGCCGUAGUUUCCCAGCGGUCCGGUCGCACGAAGAGGCUGCAAGGCCUCUGCGUCGUCAGCUUCCGACACAUCUGACAUGUCCAAGGUGUUGGGCAGAUUAAUGUGGCUCCAUUCACCUGUGGGAGCAGCGGGGGAAGUGCUCCACUUGGCACUGGCUGCUGUUUCUGUCUUCUGCUCCAACUGACAGAUGUAGUCCAUCAACUCCUGCGGCGGGAAAAUAUAGCCAUCAUUGCACACGACGGGGCUCUCCUCCGUCGUUUGCAUAUCAGCAGUAAGCUUCUCCAGAUGCUCACGGUCCCUCUGCCAAGGCAACGCACAACCAACAUGACGCCGAACAACACAACGGUGACGACGAUGUCAAUUAUCUUCAGAAGCGAGUCCACCCGCUGUACCUUGGCGAUGUCCUGCAGACUUUGCCUCUCCUGCGCCCACUGCGCUCUGCUCUCUCUCAGUGCCAAACUGGAAUCUGCAAGUUGGAGGACCUCCUUUCUGUGGGCUGUGGUCAGUUUCUGCGUCAGGGUGCUGAUGGUGUUCUGGAGCUGCAGCACGCAGGUGUCUCUUUGGGCCAGCGAGUUCCUCAGGCCUUGGAACUCCUUGGACAAAUUUCGGAGUUCGCCCUCAGUCUGUUCCAACAUGGUCUAAUAAAGGUGACACGGAUACAAACAAGCUGUGGCGUUUUUUGCUCUUUCCUCCAUCCUGCACAGAUUUAGAAUAACAAAGGGACUCACUGGAACCAUUAUGCAGCUUGUUUGGAUCAGCCAUUCCAGAUCUGAGUCACAUUUUUGCAUUUCCUUCCUAAUGCAACCAGUCCGACCUGCCUCAGUGAUGCCAUCCAGACUGUCAACCUGGUGGUGGUGGUUGUCCCAGAAGCCGCUUGCAUCCCAUCGGGGUUUCAUCUGGCCUGUCAGGAAUUCCACUUUAUUUCCCCAGGGUCUGUUCGUCUGUGAUCUGCCGGGCUCAUCACUGGAGAAGAGGAAGAAGGCUAACUGGGGAGCCUGCACUUGGCUGUAAAUCUGUCCUGGUUGUUUGGCGUUCCUGGGGUGCCUUCGCUUCUGCAGCCAAGUACCUGCGUUCCCAGGUCAGCUUUCAGACAGAAUCCCUCCAGCGUGUCCUAGGUCUUCCCGGGGAUCUUCUCCCUGCUGGGCAUGCCCGGAAAACCUCACCAGGGAGGCGUCCGGGAGGCAUGCAGACGAGAUGCCCGAGCCACCUCAACUGGCUCCUCUCGAUGUGAAGGAGGAUGACUGAUGGAUGACUGACCUCCUCACCCAAUCUCUUAGGUUUGCGCUUCUGACUCUUCAACGUGACCAAGUAACGUCGGAAAGGCUUCGGGCUCCAGCAAGGUUGGCAAGUCCUGCAACUCCAACCACUUCUUUGGGAAGAGGUUUGGGAUGGCUCUGGACAUUCGGAUUUUAUUUAUUUAUUUUUAGUUUUUUCUAACACCGGCUGACUGUGAUGUCACAGUGAGCCAAUCCUCAAACAUUUCUAUCCUUGAAUUUGGAGUUGACCAAUCCAGGGUGUCUAAGAUUCUAAAAUAUUGUCAAUAGCAGAUGACAUGUUCUUCACCAAACGUUCUUUACCACUUUAUAGUUCCGUUGUUCGUCCACAUACAGUCAACGGGACCGUGACUACGGCUGCUACUCCGCUAAUGUGUUACUUAUGCUACGCAGCAUGCAUCGACACAGGGCGAUAGGGAACGCUACCAUUCAUCCUCAUAAUCUCCACACAUUUCAACUGUGGUCAAGCUGACAUCUGCCCGACCAAAUUCACGUGCGUGGUGUAUCGUGAUAGCAGGGGACAGGCAUGUGUUAGCUUGUAAACAAGGACUGAAGCCGCGACCGUGACUAAUAGGCAUCACCGGUCCACGGGUUAUAAAUGAUACAAAUGACUGUCAUGAUCCGCUGUCACCUUCUGGGUGCUAAGUGAGUGGAAAUAUCUCUUAUGCCUUUUAUUAUUUCGCCUAUAUAAAAAUACAACCAAAACAUGUACCAAAACAUCUAGAAAGGUUAGUGGUGCGUAUUAAUGCUUGAGACGACAGAUGCUGCGAUUGACCGGUCACCAAUCACUAACGACCGAUUUCCGUGAAAAAGCAUAUCCCGAUAAAUACCUUUCAACACUCACCUUCGGCUCGCAACCUGUAGGGCAGGGGUGCUCACACUUUUCAGCAUGCGAGCUACUUUUAAAAUGAUCAAAAUGAUCUACCCACUACAAAAAUGCAAAACAUCUAUUUAUUUUCAAAUGUAUUGAGGAUUAUUUGUACGUACAAUGUAUGUUGAUGUACCUUACAUAACCAAAUGAGCCAAUAUUGCAAAACACACAUAAUUAACUAUUAACAUUUUUUGUAAUUACCUGAGUUUACUUUGAUGACUUGCACUGAAUUGAACCAGCCAGGGAUGCAUAGUCCGGACAGUAGCUGCUGAUAGCCAGCCUCAAGCACACUUCCAAAUGUUUAUCAGUCAUGGAUAAUAUCCGUAUCAUAAUAUCCGUAUAAUAUUCCAUAUCCGUAUGGAAGUGAUAUGUUUUUUGCCUUUUUACUUGGUCCAGUUUUUGCCUUUUUACUUGGUCCAGCUCCUUCACUCAUUUUAGUGACCAUAAACUUUAGCGAGGGCUUAAAAUCUGACGCAAUUCGCCGACUAGCUUAGCACUUUGCAUCGUUGUUUGCGCAUGAGCGGUGACCUAAAGGUCAAAAUUCAGUUGUCAUCUGACUGGUUGUCCUGUAUGUCAAUCAAGUAACGGGGAUGGAUGAUAGGCUGACAUCGUAAGUUCUGCUGCACUUAGAGACGUUGUUUGAUUUGAUUGGUCGCCCGAAGGGCAACAUUCAGUUGUCAUCUGAAUGGCUGCCCUGUAUAUCAAUCAAGUGACGGCAUUGAUGCUGGGAUGAUAUUUUUUUAAUGUCACGCCGCGAUCGACCAGCGAUCGACCAGUACCACCUCCGCGAUCGACCGGUAGAUCGCGAUCGACUUAAUGAGCACCCCUGCUGUAGGGGUAGUAGGGGCGUAACAAUUAAUCUACCGCAUCAAUGUAUCUAUUUAUAUUCCUGUGAUCCAACUACAUGGAUCUGUGUUCUGUGUUCAACAAGUUGCCAUUCCGGACGAUUGCAGCAUUUAAUUCAAGCAUGGCAGUAUCACGAUUGACCCAGGCCGGUUAAUUAGUCUCCCAAAUGCAGAGGUAGUAGAAAAACAAGUUUAUUAACAAAGGAACAAACAUAGAGCAGCUGAAAAGGUGGUAAAACUACGGUAACAACAGUAACGGUUGGACCAGUAACGGGCAAAGAACACUUCAUACUAAACAGAUUAAGUAUAAUCCGUUGUAAAUUAGCUACAUGUGUGCUCGGUAAGCUCCGCCCAUGAGGCUUAAAGGCGCACUGCAUCCCGAGAGAGAGAUAGGCGGCAGCAGAGCAGCACAAACAGAACAUGACAAGCUUCAUAUGGAUGUGUGGGUUUGUUUUUUUUUAGUACUUUAAAUUAUAAAGAACUUGAUUAAAUCAGCUUGUGUGUGACAUCAUUAUGAAUCCUCAAUAAAACGUAGCAUGGCGGAUGGCAGAGGACAAUCUAUUACGUCACCAACAAUUAAGCUAACAUUGCGGUCCGGAGUGUGGAAACACUUUGGCUUUUGCGAUCUAAAUAAGUCACUCGUUUGUUAAGUAAAAUAUGAAGGCAACACGACAACGACUAGUCCAGGGGGUACCCCGCCUCUUUCCUUACCAAAAAAAAACAACAGUUCCUAAAUGGUGUCGGAUCGUAUCAUUCGUCCAAGCAAAAAUCAUGAUACGUAUCGUUCCAUGUCUGGGAACUUCUGUCCAUUUGGUAAACUCCCCUUUCCAUGCAUCCCCAAAUAUUCUCUGAUUAAAAAAAAAAAUAGAUAAUGGUACCAUGCAGGAUGGUCCAAAAGCUACACACCAAACCCGCACAGAAAACUUUCUAGAUCUUCCAGAAUAUGCACUUAUUCCAGCUGUAUUUCCUUGAAUUUAUCUUCCCGCCAAAACGUUCUGUUUUGCACACACCCACUCUGCAGCGAUUGGUCACACGCCCCAAAGUGCCUCCUAACUACCAAGUGUUUAGCCCAGGGGUGGGCAAACUACGGCCCGGGGGCCACAUCCGGCCCGCCAAGUGUUUGAAUACGGCCCGCCCAAUCUUUCAAAAGUAUUGAAUUUAAAGUCAACAUACAAGCUGGCAUCAUGGCCUGAGCCAACCUUUUGAUGGUUGUAUCAAUUUCGUUGUUUGACAUGGUCUGUUGUUUACAAAGUGCUCCUGAAAAAAGGGACACAAGCACAUAAUAAUAAUAAAAAUUUAAAUAAUAAUUAUUAUAUUAUUAUUAUAACGAUUAUGAUUAGUAUAUUUAUUAUAUUAAUGCUAGUUAUUAUAUUCAUUCAUUCAUUCAUUUUCUAACGCUUUUUCCUCACGAGGGUCGCGGGGGGUGCUGGAGCCUAUCCCAGCUGUCUUCGGGCGUAAGGCGGGGUACACCCUGGACUGGUCGCCAGCCAAUCACAGGGCACGUAUAGACAAACAACCAUUCACACUCACAUUCAUACCCAUGGACAAUUUGGAGUGGCCAAUCAACCUAGCAUGUUUUUGGAAUGUGGGAGGAAACCGGAGUACCCGGAGAAAACCCACGCAUGCACGGGGAGAACAUGCAAACUCCACACAGAGAUGCCCGAGGGUGGGAUUGAACCCUGGUCUCCUAGCUGUGAGGUCUGCGCGCUAACCCCUAGACCACCGUGCCGCCCUAAUUAUUAUAUUAAUUAUAUAUAAUAAUAUUGUUAUAUUUGCAUAUUUUACAUAAUAAUAAUAUAAUAAUUAUUAUUUUAAUUGUAUUUGAAUUAUUAUAAUAUUUUAUUAUUUUUAAAAUAUUUAUAAAAUAAUAAAUAAUAAUAGCAGAUUGCAUGACAA
Molecule: non-coding RNA, 5372 nt
Organism: Doryrhamphus excisus (bluestripe pipefish)
Lineage: Eukaryota; Metazoa; Chordata; Actinopteri; Syngnathiformes; Syngnathidae
Source: RefSeq, a predicted model, not a curated record